CUAGCGGAGGAAAAGAAACUAACAGGGAUUCCCUUAGUAAGGGCGACUGAAACGGGAUGAGCCCAGCGCAUAACCUCGCACCCCUGCCGGGGCCAGCGAGGGGUGUUGCGUUCCGGAGGGUCCGGCACGCCGACUCCUGCUGCCUAAGUCAUGCUUGAAAGCGGCCACUACCCACGGAGGGUGAUAGGCCCGUACGGCACGAACCCGCAAGGGUGUAUGGAGUCGGUGGAAAGGUCCUCUCCGUCGAGUCGGGUUGCUUGAGAGUGCAGCCCAAAGCAGGUGGUAAACUCCUUCUAAAGCUAA
This 303-nucleotide ribosomal RNA is filed under the name Aegla uruguayana. RNAcentral describes it as "eukaryotic LSU rRNA". It matches the Rfam family "Eukaryotic large subunit ribosomal RNA", at positions 47 to 319 of the family's 3401-position model. Lineage: Eukaryota; Metazoa; Arthropoda; Malacostraca; Decapoda; Aeglidae. The record is from RNAcentral.